Molecule: non-coding RNA, 71 nt
Filed under: Elusimicrobiota bacterium
Lineage: Bacteria; Pseudomonadati; Elusimicrobiota
Description: Elusimicrobia bacterium 34-dG-II sequence
Rfam family: 2dG-II purine riboswitch aptamer
About the family: Purine riboswitch variant that recognize 2'-deoxyguanosine
Source: RNAcentral
UAUCCUUGUAAGCUGGGGGAUUGGCCCUGGCGUAUCCACAACCGGACCGUAAUCCGGUAUAUCCAGGGAAA